UACGUAGGGGCCGAGCGUUGUCCGGAUUUAUUGGGCGUAAAGCGCGCGCAGGCGGCUUCGCGCGCCCGCCGUGAAAGCCCCCGGCUUAACCGGGGAGAGUCGGUGGGGACGGCGGAGCUUGAGGGCGGGAGAGGUCGGUGGAAUUCCCGGUGUAGCGGUGGAAUGCGUAGAGAUCGGGAAGAACAUCAGUGGCGAAGGCGGCCUGCUGGGCUGUUGCUGACGCUGAGGCGCGACAGCGUGGGGAGCAAACAGG
Molecule: ribosomal RNA, 253 nt
Filed under: uncultured bacterium
Lineage: Bacteria
Description: partial 16S ribosomal RNA
Rfam family: Bacterial small subunit ribosomal RNA
Source: RNAcentral